Helianthus annuus (common sunflower) is the source of this 1545-nucleotide long non-coding RNA. RefSeq lists it as uncharacterized. The record is from RefSeq and is a predicted model, not a curated record. The transcript is spliced from 4 exons. NCBI's taxonomy places the organism in Eukaryota, Viridiplantae, Streptophyta, Magnoliopsida, Asterales, Asteraceae.
UCUCAUAUAGGUGACCAGUCCAAAUCUUUGAAACCCUAAAAGCCAUUUCAAAAUUCAAACCUGCCGCUUCACUUCCUUCUCAAUAUCCCGCUCUCAGACCAUCUCCAUUUCUCAGAUGGCUUCUUAUGGAUCCCUCAUUUGCUAACCCUAAUCAUAUUCCCCUCACUAGCUUUCAGGAAAUUACAAGGGCUUUGAUUCUACUUUACCUCUUCGAAUCUGGAAUUGCAACCCUGGCUGGAAAGACAAAUUACAGGAGAACACCGAUUGGCUCAUAAAACGCUUGAUGGAUCCCUCAUGAUAUACUGUAAAGCAGGUUGUUGUGAUUGAUGAUGCAGAUAACUUUCAAAAUGAUAAAGCAUUAAAUAUGCACUUGCUUUUUUAUAAUAUUCCUAUGAUGAGAAUAAAUGAGCAGAUUAUUACCAGGUUGGUCAUGCAGCUUAUGAAAUAAGUGUUAGUGGUGGUGGUCCAGAUGUUGGCUCAUGGGAUAAUUCUUUCCACAAUUUUGAAGAUGUAAGUUUUAUCCAUUUGUUUUGCUCAUCAUAUGAAUCCUACUCUUUUAGUCUAUUUGCCUUGUGUUUGGUUGUUCUGGUAGGGGGACAUGACUCAUAUAUUUAAUUUAUCUAAACGGGUUAAAUGGAUUGAGGUGUUGUAAAGUAGGGAUGAGCACGGUACCCGUUCGGUACCGAACCGGAGCCGGUACCGGUAACGAAAAACAAGAAAAGAGGGUACCGGUACCGAAUACACCGGUUUGGUACCGGUACGGUACCUGUACUUACCGGUGUUUUACCCGUUAAUACUGGUACCGGUACCUAAAAACGGAGAAAGUGAGUACCGAUACCCAAAAUACGUUAUAUUUGAUUUUUAUAAUCUCAUAUAUGGCCAAUCAUGCUGCCAUUUUAUGUGGCUUAGAGCAUGAUAUGGGAACCGAAUACAUGGUUCGACCAGUAUUUUACACCACCAAAAUGUCUAUUCUUGUGUGCAUUUGUGUGAAUUGGCCUAUAUUUACCACCAAAUUAAUAACAAGACAUAAUAAUUUUAAAAAAGAAAAAAAAACUGUAAAGAUUUCAAAGCGAGCAGGUCGGAUAACGGGUCAAACGUACAACUGUCAAAAUGGGUAGUUUUUAUAGCAUGUUGGGUUAAGUUGAAACUUUUUUCCUAAUCCAUUUUUUCUAAUCGUAACAGCAUGGCUUUUGGGAUCGGCAUGUUGGGUUAAGUUGAAACUUUUUUUCCUAACCCAUUUUUUCAAUCAUAACAACAUGGCUUUUGGGAUCAGAUAGAUGCAUUACCUCUUAAUAAAAGAUUGGCGAAUUGAUUAAUAUUAUUGAUCUUAGUUUUAUAGCUUUUGUUGUACAUGCAAGGUACAGUGCUUGAAAAAUAUGUUCAAGACAGAGAUAAUUUUUAGAGAUUUUUUUUAUUAUAUGUUUCCUUAUUGUGGCAACUAUUGCUCCUUCUAUCAUAUUAGAACCAUUGUUUCAAAGACAAGUUUUCAAUGAUUUUCCACGCCUUAAAACACAUGAAGAUUUACUGUGUGUUAAUUUAUUUUUA